RNAcentral lists this unclassified non-coding RNA (378 nucleotides) under plant metagenome. RNAcentral's name for it is "partial contains 5.8S ribosomal RNA, internal transcribed spacer 2, and large subunit ribosomal RNA". The stretch from base 1 to 105 matches the Rfam family "5.8S ribosomal RNA", at positions 50 to 154 of the family's 154-position model. The record is from RNAcentral.
GAAAUGCGAUAAGUAAUGUGAAUUGCAGAAUUCAGUGAAUCAUCGAAUCUUUGAACGCACCUUGCGCUCCUUGGUAUUCCUUGGAGCAUGCCUGUUUGAGUAUCAUGAAAUCUUCAAAGUAAAUCUUUUGUUAACUCAAUUGGCUUCUACUUAGGUAUUGGAGGUCUUUGCAGCUUCACACCUGCUCCUCUUUGUUCAUUAGCUGGAUCUCAGUGUUAUGCUUGGUUCCACUCGGCGUGAUAAGUUAUCUAUCGCUGAGGACACUGUAAAAGGUGGCCAAGGUAAAUGCAGAUGAACCGCUUCUAAUAGUCCAUUGACUUGGACAAUACUUUUAUGAUCUGAUCUCAAAUCAGGUAGGACUACCCGCUGAACUUAAGC